Molecule: long non-coding RNA, 270 nt
Filed under: Capra hircus (goat)
Lineage: Eukaryota; Metazoa; Chordata; Mammalia; Artiodactyla; Bovidae
Description: lncRNA (ENSCHIG00000001238.1)
Source: RNAcentral
AUGACCUGUGCUGUUUCAUUUCUUCUGCGCUUUCCCCGGGGAUCCAACAGACCCCUGUGGAGUUCCAGUCCUGGGACUGCCUCCUGCUUGCUUUCCCGCAAGCGUCAGAGCAGGGAAGGGGUUGAAGGGGAUAGAAGACGGGAAUCAACCCUCGUUACUCCUCCGAUGACAACAGUGGAGAUAAAGCACCCGGAGAGGGUUGCCUGUCUUUCCAAUACCACUGGAGCGAUUCAGGCCUACCACAGAAGCCCACUUUGUCUUCUACUCUGA